UCGGGAAUAUUGCGCAAUGGAGGAAACUCUGACGCAGUGACGCCGCGUGCAGGAAGAAGGUUUUCGGAUUGUAAACUGCUUUAGACAGGGAAGAAUAAAGACAGUACCUGUAGAAUAAGCUCCGGCUAACUACGUGCCAGCAGCCGCGGUAAUACGUAGGGAGCAAGCGUUAUCCGGAUUUAUUGGGUUUAAAGGGAGCGUAGGCCGGAUGUCAAGCGUGUUGUGAAAUGCCGGGGCUCAACCUUGGCACUGCAGCGCGAACUGGCGUCCUUGAGUGCGCACGCCGCGGGUGGAAUUCGUUGUGUAGCGGUGAAAUGCUUAGAUAUGACGAAGAACUCCGAUUGCGAAGGCAGCUCGCGAGAGCGCAACUGACGCUGAUGCUCGAAAGCGCGGGUAUCGAACAGGAUUAGAUACCCUGGUAGU
This 423-nucleotide ribosomal RNA is filed under the name uncultured Acetivibrio sp. RNAcentral's name for it is "bacterial SSU rRNA". It matches the Rfam family "Bacterial small subunit ribosomal RNA", at positions 355 to 794 of the family's 1533-position model. Lineage: Bacteria; Bacillati; Bacillota; Clostridia; Acetivibrionales; Acetivibrionaceae. The record is from RNAcentral.